UGGUAACACGAACCGGUGCUAAAGGGUCCCUGCCCCGACAACACCUGUCAGUAGCCGUUAGGCAGGACCCUUUAGCACCGGUUCGUGUUACGAA
This 94-nucleotide microRNA precursor is filed under the name Sorghum bicolor (sorghum). RNAcentral describes it as "MIR5387 microRNA precursor family". It matches the Rfam family "MIR5387 microRNA precursor family". Lineage: Eukaryota; Viridiplantae; Streptophyta; Magnoliopsida; Poales; Poaceae. The record is from Rfam by way of RNAcentral.